Molecule: long non-coding RNA, 214 nt
Filed under: Setaria viridis
Lineage: Eukaryota; Viridiplantae; Streptophyta; Magnoliopsida; Poales; Poaceae
Description: long non-coding RNA (SVIR_LNC005693)
Source: RNAcentral
ACCAGCUUUGGAGUGAUCCUUCCUCCGAAUCUUUCAACACAACUUCCGAAACUCCCUUAAACAAACUUGCUCAACCCUUUUGUUCUUCAAACUUUGUUUAAGGUGCUGGUUUAGAUUGUGAAAGAUUCAAAGAUAUUUCCGGCCAAGUUAGCCAAAAAUCUGGGAUUCCAGACUUAGGAUUUUUAAGGCACCAGGGGUGAGUUGACUGGUUUAC